RNAcentral lists this ribosomal RNA (412 nucleotides) under uncultured bacterium. Its description in RNAcentral is "bacterial SSU rRNA". It matches the Rfam family "Bacterial small subunit ribosomal RNA", at positions 97 to 507 of the family's 1533-position model. The record is from RNAcentral.
GGCGCACGGGUGAGUAACACGUAUCCAACCUGCCGUCUACUCUUGGACAGCCUUCUGAAAGGAAGAUUAAUACAAGAUGGCAUCAUGAGUCCGCAUGUUCACAUGAUUAAAGGUAUUCCGGUAGACGAUGGGGAUGCGUUCCAUUAGAUAGUAGGCGGGGUAACGGCCCACCUAGUCUUCGAUGGAUAGGGGUUCUGAGAGGAAGGUCCCCCACAUUGGAACUGAGACACGGUCCAAACUCCUACGGGAGGCAGCAGUGAGGAAUAUUGGUCAAUGGACGAGAGUCUGAACCAGCCAAGUAGCGUGAAGGAUGAAGGUCCUACGGAUUGUAAACUUCUUUUAUAAGGGAAUAAACCCUCCCACGUGUGGGAGCUUGUAUGUACCUUAUGAAUAAGCAUCGGCUAACUCCGUG